Molecule: non-coding RNA, 4853 nt
Organism: Camellia sinensis
Lineage: Eukaryota; Viridiplantae; Streptophyta; Magnoliopsida; Ericales; Theaceae
Source: RefSeq, a predicted model, not a curated record
UGCUAACUUUUUUUAUGUAGCCAUGUUAUUUUGUUGUUGUGUUACCAAGUGGUUGGGGGUUCUCAUGCUUUCUGGUCCCGUUAUUCAUUUUUUCCUUAUUUUCUUAUAGCUCCCAAUUUUUUUUGUGAGGCAUUUAUUUUGCUGUUUUCUUUCUUCAUUCCUCUAACUCAGUAUUCCUUGUUCUUUAAAGAAGAUGUGUUUUGUGAAGCAUGGCACUGUGUAGUUUUCUUUAUAUUCUUUUCCCUUUUCCCCUUAUAAAAAUAAAAUUAUUUGAAUAAACAGGUAAAACAUGUUAAGCCAACUAUGUUACCAUUUUUUUCUUGUCAACUUAUAUCUCAUAAAAAAAAAAAAAAAAUUUAGUGCUGCAUUUAUUUUGCUGUUUUCUUUCUUUCUUCCUCUAAGCCAGUAUUUUAUGAUCUUGAAAGAAGAUGUGUUUUGUGAAGCAUAGCAUUGUAUAGUUUUCUUAAUUUCUUUUCCCUUUUUUUCGUUUCUUUUCUUUUUUUUUUUUCCCUUCCUAUAAACAUAAGGGGGUUUGUUGCUUGGUGCAAUAGUAAAAGCUCUACAGGACCUUUUUACCUAUGCCUAGCCUGCUCAGUUAGUGUCAAUGUCAAGAAAAUGCACCAAUCUCUAUCUUGUUUUCUUAAAGGUUUAUAUGUUUGUGAUUAUUUUAAUUUGACAUGUUUUUAGUUGGUGGGUUGUCUUGGCAAUGUUUAUAUGUUUAUUAAUUCUUUCUAAGACCAUGGCUUUCCAUGAUUCUUGCCAAUCAUUCGUUUUCUAUUGUUAUUGUUGAUGCUGUUGCUAAAGACCAAGGGUACCUCUAAUUGUUGUUGUGGAUUGGAUUUGUCAUUAUUGUAACUUAACAAAUUUGAGUGCGGGUUCAUUCUAUGAAUGGAAAGGCAUUCUCAUAUGGAACUUGGGUUUUCUUCUGGACAUCAUGACGUUAUUGAUGGCACUCUGUCAUUAUGUGCAUAUCUGGUGGCUUCAUGGCAUGAAAUUUCAUCUUGUGGAUGUAGUUCUUUUCCUAAAUAUAUGUGCCUUGUUAGGUGCAAUUGUAAAACGUAUCAAAGGAUUUAUUAGGUUGAAGAUAGCUUUAGGCGCCCUUCAUGGAGCACUUCCAGAUGCAACACCUGAGGAGAUUGAAGCAUAUGAUGAUGAAUGUGCUAUUUGUAGGGAACCAAUGGCAAAGGUGAAGAGACUAUCUUGUAAACAUCUUUUCCAUCUAACCUGUUUGAGAUCUUGGUAUGAUCUAUGUUGCUUGUUACGAUCUUGGACCCCCCCAUCAUGAGCAGAGAGGAAUUUGAAGCUCGGAAAGCUGAUCUAUGGAGGAAGCAUACAACGGAAUCUAUUGUUGCAAAGGUACUAUCAAUAAGCAUCAUUCCUUAUUAUCUGUUAUUAUUGCUUGAGUUUUUGUUCCUAGGAAAUUUAGCAAGAAAUAGAACUUAAAAAGUUUUACUAGCAAUAAUGCUUCCUCAUAUUUAUAUCUAUCUGUGGAAGUGGAUAUCAGAUGCUACUUUGUUUUUGCUGCAUAGUGUGAGAAUGCUGCUUUGAGUUUGUAGGAAGCUACUUUUUGCAAGUGAAAAUGUUGCCGAAGGCUUCAUAGAUUCUAAUCAUGCCAUUAAUUUAACUAGGUUCUACAAUCCAAAAUUGAAUCCCAAUCAACAAGGGUCCAUCUUGGGCCUGUAGGCCUGCAAUGAGUUGUUCACAUGUGCACAACUACAAUGACGGAGAUCCUAAUCUUCCACUAUGGUGUAGCUUAAUUAGAUGGUAGUUCAUAGAUUGAAUUCCUUUGUUUUGUCAUAAAGGGGUCCAUGCCAUUGAGUCAUUUACAUUUUGUUUUAUUGCCAAAAACCUAAGACUAGCUUGACAAGUGACAAUAAUGUGAAGAGAUAAUUAUUCGUAAUUGCUUUUAUGUGUUGUACUUUGUAGAUGAAGCUGUCCUUUGUUUUGUUACAUGUCUUUGGCAAUCCUAUGUAAAGCACAAAUAGAAUCAUUUAGAAACACAAAUAUCAUUUAGCUAUAACAACCACAACUAGCUGAGUCAAAUAUCAUUUAGAAACACAAAUAUCAUUUAGCUAGAACAAUCAUUUAGAAACACAGAUAUCAUUUCGAUAAACCUGUUGCACCCACCUCAGAGCUUCUGAAGAAACUUAGGACCUAUUCAGGUAUAUUGAGGCUAAUAUUUUUCUUUUUCUUUUCGUUAUCUUUCUUUGAAAAACUUCUUUUCAUAUGAAAAAACUAGUCUCACCGAUUAUGUACCAUUUUUACUUUUGGUCACCUAUAUGAAUGAGUAUUUAGAUGAAGCCUUGAAAUCAUUGUUGAUAGAAUAGAUGUAUGAUAAUAUUAAGAUUUUACUAAACAAUUGACAAAUCGUGAUGAGUAUUACGUAGUAGAGCUCUUCAUGACUAGGUAACUGUCUAAUGUUUAUCACAUUUUUCUUCUCUAGUAUCAAUGAAGAUGAAGGAAUUCCAGGUAGGAGCAGAUCGGGCAGGAAGGGAAAAUUCUGGUUUUAAAUAAUUGUGUUCCUUUCUACCUUAGGGAGCUUUGGUGUUUGUGAUGCUGACAACAAGGAGUCCCAAAAACCUACCAAUUUAGUGUAUAAUUGCCAAUAACCAUAUUUUUUGCUUUCACAUUUUGAACACAAUGGCAUGGCAUACAUUCAGAGAAACAUUUCCUCAAAGAUGUAUAUAUGCCUGCAUUUUCUUCCCCUCCCUAAUCACACUAUUGAACCCACAAACACACCAUCUCUAACACCAUCCCCCACCAAUCCCUUAGGAUACAUGUUUGGAUUUUGAUUUGGAUUUGGAACUGAGUUGGGCUUUGCAAAUCCCCCUCAAAUCCAUCAUCCAAACAUAAUAUUAAAGAAAACUAACAAUAGAACAGAGGAAAACUAUUCCCAUUACACAAACAAACAACAAUAAGCCCUACCCAUUAGCUAUCAUUCUCUGCCGGUUAUGAAACUUCAUAGAUGGUGUCGUUGGAAACCUGUCUUCCACUUUAUUUAUAGAAAUAUGAAUUGUACUCUAAGCUAAAAUUAUGCACCAUACCUUGUAGUUUUUAUUAAUUAGUUCUAUGACACUGAAUUAUGGGGGCAUGAGUAUCCCAAAAAUUAUUCUAAUAUCCUAUUGUUUUUUCUCUGAUAAGGAGUUUCUUUUGCUUUUUCUCUUUAAAAUAAUUUGUGCCAGUCAACUCUUCUUUUGAUGCCUUUCCAACAAAGUUGUGCGUUUCUAAAUUGUGAUAUUUUACUUCAGAAUGUGUGAAUUUAAUCUGUUAUUUGUUAACUUAUCUAUAUUGUCCUUAUCUUAUUCCUAUAGGUACAGUGUUUCAGUUCUUUGAUUUGAGUUAGGAAUAGAUUCUUAAACAAUAUGAUGUUGGAGAUGCAUGUGCAACUCUUGAAGAUCCUCACACUGAAGAUCUGAGCCAAGAAGUUUGAGGCUUCAUAUUCUCUAGAAUUCUGGUUCAUUUUUGAAAGUCAUAUUUGCCUUAAUUGCAAUUCCAUUUCAAAAUACUUUUGGUCACUUUUAUAGCUGCAUUAAUUGCUGAUCUUUCUCUCUAUACAUGAUCUACAUAUAUUUAGCAGAUGUAUGUUUACUAGAGACCAUUAUAAUCUUUUAUUUUCUGGGUGAAGAAUCUUUUUUGGCUGAAAACUCAAGUUUGAAAAAUGUUUUCAAGCAAUCACGAGUGGACUUUUGUUCAUUCUGUAACAGCCUAUCACAUAAUAGGAAAAUAAAGUUCUGCUUGCUCAGAAACAGAUUCUUGAUAGCAAAGACGCAGACAUUUGGCACGAACAUGACACAACAUAGAUAUAAAUACUAAAACAAGACAUAGACAUGGCGACAACAUUAGAAUAAUGAAAAUUGCGUAUAAACAUGAUAAUAAUUAAAAAAUGUCCAUUGCAUACUUGAGUUGUGGCAGCCAUGUCUAUGAUGCCAGUGUCUUGCAUUUCUUCCUUUAUCUAUUUAUUUGAAUAAAUGGUUGGGUGCUUUUGGGUAUGUUUAUCCUUUUAAUAAGGCUGUUCGUAUGGCUACAAUUGUUGGCUUUGUGUUUGUGUAAGUGUUAGCCAAGGCCCCAAAGUUGCAAAGCAUAUUUAAAUAAUGUACACAGCCAAGAAGUAUCUCAAGUCUCUAGGUGUGUCCAAGUGUAGGUAUUGAAGCAGUGUUCUACAUGGACACUGCUUAUUUGUGUCCGUGCUGCUAAGACUAUAGUGGGUUGUUAAAUGGUAUGGAGAGUCUAAUUUAACUAUAACUAGUUUGACUAUUAACACUUUUUGACAAAUACUAUAUUGACUACUAUUAUUAUUUUUAUUGUUAUAUUUAGUAAGACAAGAAAAUUGACUAUCACUAAUACAUAGGAUAUAGUUACAGCAUGGAAAUGAACUUUUUUCAAAGUAGAGACAAAAUUAUUUGUUUACUCUCGUGUAUUUUUGCUAGGCAAUGUUAGAGUUGCUCUAAGUUAGUGAUGUGAUUGAUAGGAGCUUGCCAUGUACAAAGGAACUUCUGGUUGUUAAGUUAGACUCAUUGUGUACACAAUUUGUAUUGACAUGGAUAGAAAGGUCUAUACAAUGUAAUUGAUAAUAUAUUAAUGUUUGCCUUAUUUAUUUUCUUUGCAGAUUGGUUUUGAUGACGUUCGGGAGCAUACUUGCAAAUGAAGAUCAACUGUUGAAUUUUUUUUCCUAAACUGAUGCUUAGUUGUAGUUGCAAAAUAAGAUUGAGUGUUGAUUUUUUUUUUUUUUUUUGUGGACUCCACGUAGUUGAUUUUGAGAUUUGCUUUGAUGGUUUUUUUGUGAUACUUAAUGGAUUAUUAUUAAAGUUGUUUGAUGGAUACAUUUUGAUUUAUAAUAUAAAUUGUUUAGUGAA